Molecule: long non-coding RNA, 807 nt
Filed under: Cyanistes caeruleus (blue tit)
Lineage: Eukaryota; Metazoa; Chordata; Aves; Passeriformes; Paridae
Description: lncRNA (ENSCCEG00000005453.1)
Source: RNAcentral
UUUUCUUUGAAGCUAUCUUGAGAACCAUCAUCAGGAAUCAUAGGUCCUAGGUUGUGGAAUUCCAGGAACCAUGGAAAAUGCAAGAAAGAGUAAGCAAAUGCCUCUCUAUUUCUGCUAUCUUUGAGUUCACCAGAUUGGUCUGCCUGUUCAAAGAAACUUAAAAAGGGUCAGAUUUGGCCAGCUGGGAAUCCCUGCUAUACUGUCCAUAUGUUUUAACAGGUGGAAGGGUUGCUCAGCUCUUCGCUCUUCUGCUAGGAAAUGGGCAAUGCUUGGAGGUGUCCAGGGGAUGCCCAUUGGGCUGGACCAAUUCCAGCACUCUGAAACUGCAACAAAUAGGGCAACAACUGCUGUGCAACUGAAAGAAGAAUUCUCACUCCACGCAUUUGAGGACAGUAUUUCCAGAGGAAUCUCUCAGGACUCAUCACUACUCUUCUGAGAGAAAAUUACAGGCAAACAUUCACUGUCAGGAGCUGUCUGCUGUGACAGUUACAAAUCUGUCAGGUUAUGUAAACUGGGAAAGAAACAAAGAAGAUGGUAUUAAAAGGGUUGCCUACAGUUUCUGAGAAUUUCAGCUGCUCGUUCUGUCUCCCUGGGUUUUUGUGCUCUUGCUGCAUAGUUAAGACUUGAGAAGCGUUGGUCUCCAGUUGUAGAGAUGGUAAAAAAGGCUCCUUAGACAGGUAGGAAUGACAUUGUUGUCUGUGUAGCACUUGGAACCCCUGGUUUCUUUAUGCUAAAGGCUCACUAGCUUUUCCUGAUCCUUAGCAAGCUCCAAAAUAAACUUCCAGAAAACGAGGUAGGUUUAGAUCA